CCUUCGGGGGGUAAUCAGCGGCAGACGGGUGAGUAACAUGUAGGUAACCUGCCCUCAAGACGGGGAUAACGCCUGGAAACGGGCGCUAAUACCGGAUGACCUUGGUCGGGGAAGCUCCGGCUAAGGAAAGGCUUUGGCGCUUGAGGAGGGGCCUGCGGCCCAUCAGUUAGUUGGUAGGGUAACGGCCUACCAAGGCGAAGACGGGUAGGGGGUGUGAGAGCACGGNCCCCCACACUGGGACUGAGACACGGCCCAGACUCCUACGGGAGGCAGCAGCGGGGAAUAUUGCGCAAUGGACGGAAGUCAGACGCAGCGACGCCGCGUGUGUGAAGAAGGCCUUCGGGUUGUAAAAGCCCUUUUCUGUGGGAAGAGAAAGGACGGUACCAUAGGAAUAAGCGUCGGCUAACUACGUGCCAGCAGCCGCGGUAAGACGUAAGGACGCGAGCGUUAUCCGGAUUUACUGGGGCGUAAGGCGGUGUGUAGGCGGCGUGACAAUGUUGGGCGUGAAAGCCCCGUGCUCAACGCGGGGAGG
Molecule: ribosomal RNA, 532 nt
Filed under: uncultured organism
Description: bacterial SSU rRNA
Rfam family: Bacterial small subunit ribosomal RNA
Source: RNAcentral